CCUACGGGUGGCUGCAGUGGGGAAUAUUGGGCAAUGGGCGCAAGCCUGACCCAGCAACGCCGCGUGAAGGAAGAAGGCCUUCGGAUUGUAAACUUCUUUUGUCAGGGACGAAGAAGGUGACGGUACCUGACGAAUAAGCCACGGCUAACGCGGUGGCAGCAGCCGUAGUAAUACGUAGGGGGCAAGCGUUAUCCGGAGUUACGGGGUGUAAGGGGCGUGUAGGCGGGAGAGCAAGUCAGACGUGAACUUCCUGGGCUCAACCCUGGAACUGCGUUUGAAACUGUUCUUCUUGAGUGAUGGAGAGGCAGGCGGAAUUCCGGGUGUAGCGGUGAAAUGCGUAGAGAUACGGAGGAACACCAGUGGCGAAGGCGGCCUGCUGGACAUUAACUGACGCUGAGGCGCGAAAGCGUGGGGAGCAAACAGGAUUAGAUACCCGUGUAGUC
RNAcentral lists this ribosomal RNA (443 nucleotides) under uncultured bacterium. RNAcentral describes it as "partial 16S ribosomal RNA". It matches the Rfam family "Bacterial small subunit ribosomal RNA", at positions 338 to 795 of the family's 1533-position model. The record is from RNAcentral.